UAAUACUUAGUCAUAAUUAUUGGUUACAAAUUUGAAGAUUUAGUUUUGGCUGUGGAACGUACUGUUCGAAACCCAAACCCCCCAGCCCACCCAGCCUGAUCUCGGCCCACACAUUCGAAUUCCUUCACCGACUCUUCUUGUUCAGCGAUUAUUUUGCAUGGUUUGCAUAUAUAUAUAUACACACAUAAUGAUCUCUACCUCUACGCAAACCCUACCUGCCGCCUCACCUGAACCGCUCCUCCUCGCCCGAAACACUACGUCGAACCAACCACUACCUUCUUCUCCGGCGAGUUCACCGGCGAACACCGGACGCGAUUGAUCAAAAGUUAUUUUAGCAAGUAGACUAUCUGCCGAGCAAAUCAAUGUAAUUAUUGAAGGAGCUUGGGAGCUUGCCGUCUGAUGCUGCUGGAGUGGUUAUGGUCAUGAUAAACAUUUACAUUGACUUGGUUUCGAUACAUU
Long non-coding RNA from Helianthus annuus (common sunflower), 459 nucleotides. RefSeq lists it as uncharacterized. The record is from RefSeq and is a predicted model, not a curated record. Lineage: Eukaryota; Viridiplantae; Streptophyta; Magnoliopsida; Asterales; Asteraceae. The transcript has 3 exons.